GCGGUCAUCCAUGCUGUUAAUAGUUUGUCGGCUUCUUCUCUACCAGUGGUGCGAUUAUUACGGAAGUUUGUUUAGAAUGUUUUUUAACAUUGUUUUCUGGGCUCGUCACGUGCCUGGAUUGUUAAACAUCAUGGCUGUUGAGUUGUCUCGUUCACAGUUGGACCAUUUUCAUCAGGUGGGACCCAGGGCGCAAGCAGUGGGACAGGUCUGUCCGGAGGAGAUG
This is a non-coding RNA of Pelobates cultripes (western spadefoot toad), 223 nucleotides long. The record is from the annotation of a GenBank genome assembly. Lineage: Eukaryota; Metazoa; Chordata; Amphibia; Anura; Pelobatidae.